Long non-coding RNA from Oreochromis niloticus (Nile tilapia), 594 nucleotides. RefSeq lists it as uncharacterized. The record is from RefSeq and is a predicted model, not a curated record. Lineage: Eukaryota; Metazoa; Chordata; Actinopteri; Cichliformes; Cichlidae. The transcript is spliced from 3 exons.
ACUGCUUAAUCUUGGUCAAUCAUGCCAUGUGUCACGGUCCGGGUGAGUGCAGUGUUUUUCCAUAGAGCAGGGGCUCCACUUCCGGGUGCAAUCUCCAUUCAGCAGUCUCACCUGUCUGCAAUCAAGCUACCAGUACUUCAGACCAGCACACUCAACAUGUCGGCGCCAGAUCUACAUCUAACCAGUGUUAGUUAACCUGCCUGUCAUCACACUUCACUUUUGAGCAAUACUUACCUUCAUUAGGACGCUGGUCUUCCUGCAAUUACGCAGUCUGGUUACGCUCCAUUCCUCUCUACACGCCACCUGUCUGCCUCCCUGUCACAGCUUCUGAAACUCAUUUGGAUCUGUACAUUUGGACUCAAACCUGACCUGGACCUUUUGGUCUACCCUCCUUCCAUGUCGUUCUCUGCCUGGAACGAUGACUCUGGACACCUCCACCCGAGCCACAGGCCCUUCUCCCCUUGAGCCUGUUUCAUGGACUUUUGAAUUAACCUUAGCUCACAGAUUAAGCUUCACGUUUUUGACUUUUCAGGUUGUUCCAUAGUUCACAGAUCAUAGUUGUUACUCGAAGAUUUUCUCCCACUCUGUAAAUAA